This is a non-coding RNA of Phlebotomus papatasi, 63 nucleotides long. The record is from Rfam. NCBI's taxonomy places the organism in Eukaryota, Metazoa, Arthropoda, Insecta, Diptera, Psychodidae.
GUUCUUGCUUCGGCAGAACAUAUACUAAAAUUGGAACGAUACCGAGAAAAUUAGCAUGACCCC